CCCUUAGAUGUUCUGGGCCGCACGCGCGCUACACUGACGAAUGCAACGAGCUUAUAACCUUGGCCGAAAGGUCUGGGUAAUCUCCAAAUCUCGUCGUGAUGGGGAUAGAUUAUUGCAAUUAUUAAUCUUCAACGAGGAGUGCCUAGUAAGCGCAAGUCAUCAGCUUGCGUUGAUUACGUCCCUGCCCUUUGUACACACCGCCCGUCGCUCCUACCGAUUGAAUGGUCCGGUGAAGCGUUCGGACCGUGGCCUUUGGACGGUUCGCCGUCUGUUGGCUGCGGGAAGUUCGUUAAACCUUAUCAUUUAGAGGAAGGAGAAGUCGUAACA
Molecule: ribosomal RNA, 327 nt
Filed under: uncultured eukaryote
Lineage: Eukaryota
Description: partial 18S ribosomal RNA
Rfam family: Eukaryotic small subunit ribosomal RNA
Source: RNAcentral